CCUGCUGAUCCGGACCCGGAGCCCUGGUUCUGGAUAGAGGAUCAAGGUGAUGAAUAUGUUUUUCAUAUUGUCACAGAUCCGUUCCUCGGUUACAAUGAGGAGAUAGAAGUAGAAGAAAUAGGGGUUGACUAUGAGGAGGUAGAAGUGGAAGGAUUAGUGGUGGACGAGUAUGAGCAGGCGGAGAUGUGGCCUUUUGAGGGGCUAGAUGAUGAUUUUGACGAAGUCAGGUCUUUUUCUGGUGAAGACGAUGACCACCUUCCCCCACAUCUUCGGUUCACCCAGAGGAUUCCCCCCGACUUCAGACUCCCGUGGAACCACAAAGAGCCAGAAGAGUCCCUGGAGUGCCAAGAAGACCGCGUCUCCAGGAGGAGGAGAAGAGAGGAAGACGAUGAAGAGGAGCUCCCCUGGAAGAGGCUUUGUCAUGACAGGGAUGUUUAAGAAGAGGAAUUCUGGCAGGAUCUGGCAGGUCUAGGGAUGCCUUAGGUAGCGUCUUGCACCGUGGCUUUUAUUUACCCUGCUGCUAGAUUGAGUUUUAUAGAUAUUAAGGAGUCUGGCAGGUCUAGGGAUGCCUUAGGUAGCGUCUUGCACCGUGGCUUUUAUUUACCCUGCUGCUAGAUUGAGUUUUAUAGAUAUUAAGGAGUCUGGCAGGUCUAGGGAUGCCUUAGGUAGCGUCUUGCACCGUGGCUUUUAUUUACCCCGCUGCUAGAUUUUGAUUUAAGUUUUAGAUGUUAGAAAUUUCGUUUAGCACUGACAUCUGAGCAGGCACUGAGGACAUGACAACCAUUUAAAAAAGGUGUGGAACAUGAGAGCUGGCUAAGGCAGACAUAAUCUAGCAUGCUCUACAUCUUAUGUCAGAGCUGGACAGUCUGCCAGCUAACAGAAGGCAACACAAUCAAAGGAUUGAUAAAAGAACCAGAUUUGAAAAGAAGAAACACAGCAUGGAGGCAAAUGAACAAAAAAUAAAAACACCAAAAGACAAAAAAUGAAUCCUGGUUGAAAACAGAUGAACCACGAGCAGGCAAACCAAUCCAAGGAGCAGCUGGACAUCACUGCUGAGGACAACGCAGGAGGUCAAAGAAAAAUCUUAAAGGUCUAAAAAUGGAGUUGAGGUCACCUAAAGUCUAUAGGCAGAGGGCCAAGGCUGUAGUGGAGACAGAUUAUCUAGAGUAGGACGAUGCUGCUGGGGACAAACUGGAUCUAGAAUGGAACAGUGGCACAGCCUGUGGUGGUCAUCAGUGGAACUGGUCUCUGGGAUGUUGGUGAGAAGGUAAAGAGACGAUGCUUGGAGGGACAAACUGAUUUCAGAGCAGUUUGAGACAGAGGACAGGACUGAUGUAGGGAUUUGGGUUGUGAGAGGAGCCGACUGUUAGAAACAGCUUUCAGAUGCGACUUGGUCUACUUCUAGAUGUUCCUCUGGUCAGUUAGUUUUCAGGCCUACUUUGAGGGAAAAGAACCCUCUGCAGAAAUAUUCUUCAUAUGAUCUAGGCCUGUUCUGACCGCAGUGGAUCUCUUCUGUGUUUUUUGAAUCCCAUGUUGGACCGAGCCUCUCCAAGCUUUGGGCCAUCAGAAGAUGCUGAUGAGAUCUGCAGCGACCGAACCAGAGGAGGAUCAUCUGGGCUGCUGACCUUUACAAAGAUUUUUCAUGUAUGUUCAGACACUGUGGACGUCCAAAAGCAGAACUUCUGUGAGGAACCGGGACAUCCAGGAUGGUGAGGAGCUUCCCAGUCCCCACCUGAGGACGGCACAGAGAAAGACUGGAACAGAAAACACAUGGAGGAAAGCAGGUUGAACAUGGGAGCAGUUUUCUAGCAGCCGGAUCACAUUGGAACAGAGUCCAUCCACACGUGUUUGGAGGAGCUGAAGAAGAGGACGGAGCACAGAGACCGCUAAGGAGGAGAAACAUGGCUCCUCUAUUUCUCUCCAACAUGCUGGAGUGCUCUCUUCCAUACUUUCUGAUAUUAAAACUUGAGUCAGACCUCAUCAGGCUGACUGUUGCUUUCCUAGAAAGAGCCACUAAUGGAGCUAGUUUAACUUGACCUUUUUUAACAUAGAAAGUAUUCAUGAAUCAGAAAUACUUUAAUAAUCCCAGAGGGAAAUUACUUU
Cyprinodon tularosa is the source of this 2103-nucleotide long non-coding RNA. RefSeq lists it as uncharacterized. Lineage: Eukaryota; Metazoa; Chordata; Actinopteri; Cyprinodontiformes; Cyprinodontidae. The record is from RefSeq and is a predicted model, not a curated record. The transcript is spliced from 4 exons.